AUUUUACGCGCAGUUAUUUGAAAAUUGUAGAUUCUAUCGAAUAGAAUUGCUUCAAAAAAUUUUUUUUUUAAUUAAAAACUUUUUUUUUCGGAAAACUGAUACAUUUUUCUUAUUUUUACCUUAAAAUUCUAUAAUUUUCAAUCAAUUCAC
Non-coding RNA from Caenorhabditis elegans, 150 nucleotides. NCBI's taxonomy places the organism in Eukaryota, Metazoa, Nematoda, Chromadorea, Rhabditida, Rhabditidae. The record is from Ensembl.